Long non-coding RNA from Sinocyclocheilus rhinocerous, 234 nucleotides. RefSeq lists it as uncharacterized. Lineage: Eukaryota; Metazoa; Chordata; Actinopteri; Cypriniformes; Cyprinidae. The record is from RefSeq and is a predicted model, not a curated record. The transcript has 3 exons.
GUAGACCAAGUAAUAUUUCAAAAGCGGCUCCAGCAGCGUCUACGAAAAAAUCCUAGAUUCCCCAAUAUAAUCCAGGAAUUUAUAUCUGCACUGGAAACAUACAUUGAAGACCCAGAGAGAUUCAGAAACUGCCUGCUGCCUUGCGUGCCAUCAUCCACUUCACAGCAGGAUACCAAUUCUGGCUGCUAUCAGGAAAGUCUUGUACGCCUGUUGCUUGGAAUAGAGAUGCUACAG